RNAcentral lists this ribosomal RNA (468 nucleotides) under uncultured bacterium. RNAcentral's name for it is "partial 16S ribosomal RNA". It matches the Rfam family "Bacterial small subunit ribosomal RNA", at positions 28 to 507 of the family's 1533-position model. The record is from RNAcentral.
GACGAACGCUGGCGGCGUGCUUAACACAUGCAAGUCGAACGGAAAGGCCCUGCUUUUGUGGGGUGCUCGAGUGGCGAACGGGUGAGUAACACGUGAGUAACCUGCCCUUGACUUUGGGAUAACUUCAGGAAACUGAGGCUAAUACCGGAUAGGAGCUCCUGCUGCAUGGUGGGGGUUAGAAAGUUUCGGCGGUUGGGGAUGGACUCGCGGCUUAUCAGCUUGUUGGUGGGGUAGUGGCUUACCAAGGCUUUGACGGGUAGCCGGCCUGAGAGGGUGACCGGCCACAUUGGGACUGAGAUACGGCCCAGACUCCUACGGGAGGCAGCAGUGGGGAAUAUUGCACAAUGGGCGGAAGCCUGAUGCAGCAACGCCGCGUGCGGGAUGACGGCCUUCGGGUUGUAAACCGCUUUCGCCUGUGACGAAGCGUGAGUGACGGUAAUGGGUAAAGAAGCACCGGCUAACUACGUG